This 484-nucleotide ribosomal RNA is filed under the name uncultured bacterium. RNAcentral describes it as "partial 16S ribosomal RNA". It matches the Rfam family "Bacterial small subunit ribosomal RNA", at positions 30 to 507 of the family's 1533-position model. The record is from RNAcentral.
AUUGAACGCUGGCGGCAGGCCUAAUACAUGCAAGUCGAGCGGACGAGCGGAGCUUGUUCUAUGCUUCCGUGGGCGACGGGUGAGUAAUGAACACGAAUAUAACUGGCCGUGGGGGCUAAGGUAACGUCGGGAACGCUAAUCCAGCACCGGAUAUUAGGGAGAACGUGGUGGAUCUUUGGUCCUAACGCUAUUUGCUGACACUUGGUCGGAUUAGCUAGUUGGUGAGGUAAAGGCUCACCAAGGCGACGAUCCGUAACUGGUCUGAGAGGAUGACCAGUCACACUGGAACUGAGACACGGUCCAGACUCCUACGGGAGGCAGCAGUAGGGAAUCUUGGGCAAUGGGCGAAAGCCUGAUGCAGCCAUGCCGCGUGUGUGAAGAAGGUCUUCGGAUUGUAAAACACUUUAAGUAGGGAAGAACAACAGUAAGAUAAUACCUUGCUGUUUUGACGGUACCUACAGAGAAAGCACCGGCUAACUACGUG